GAUGAAGAACGUAGCGAAAUGCGAUAAGUAGUGUGAAUUGCAGAAUUCAGUGAAUCAUCGAAUCUUUGAACGCACAUUGCGCCCUUUGGUAUUCCAAAGGGCAUGCCUGUUCGAGCGUCAUUUGUACCCUCAAGCUUUGCUUGGUGUUGGGCGUCUUGUCUCUAGCUUUGCUGGAGACUCGCCUUAAAGUAAUUGGCAGCCGGCCUACUGGUUUCGGAGCGCAGCACAAGUCGCACUCUCUAUCAGCAAAGGUCUAGCAUCCAUUAAGCCUUUUUUUCAACUUUUGACCUCGGAUCAGGUAGGGAUACCCGCUGAACUUAAGCAUAUCAAUUAAGCGGAGGA
This 342-nucleotide unclassified non-coding RNA is filed under the name soil metagenome. Its description in RNAcentral is "partial contains 5.8S ribosomal RNA, internal transcribed spacer 2, and large subunit ribosomal RNA". The stretch from base 1 to 120 matches the Rfam family "5.8S ribosomal RNA", at positions 35 to 154 of the family's 154-position model. The record is from RNAcentral.